This 268-nucleotide ribosomal RNA is filed under the name uncultured bacterium. Its description in RNAcentral is "partial 16S ribosomal RNA". It matches the Rfam family "Bacterial small subunit ribosomal RNA", at positions 28 to 295 of the family's 1533-position model. The record is from RNAcentral.
GACGAACGCUGGCGGCGUGCUUAACACAUGCAAGUCGAGCGGUAAGGCCCUUUCGGGGGUACGACGAGCGGCGAACGGGUGAGUAACACGUGGGUGACCUGCCCUCAGCUCUGGGAUAAGCCUGGGAAACUGGGUCUAAUACUGGAUAUGACUCCACGGUGCAUGUCGUGGGGUGGAAAGCCUUGUGCGGCUGAGGAGUGGGCCCGCGGCCUAUCAGCUUGUUGGUGGGGUGANGGCCUACCAAGGCGACGACGGGUAGCCGGCCUGA